This is a long non-coding RNA of Ailuropoda melanoleuca (giant panda), 252 nucleotides long. RefSeq lists it as uncharacterized. The transcript is spliced from 3 exons. The record is from RefSeq and is a predicted model, not a curated record. Lineage: Eukaryota; Metazoa; Chordata; Mammalia; Carnivora; Ursidae.
GACUGCCUCUCCACUGACCAUGCCUCUGAUGUUGUCUUCGUGGGAAUCCAUAGUCCUCUCCCCAAGCUGUGACUAAUUACCCUGAGAAACAAAUUGGAGGCUGACUAGGAAACCAGGGCUCUGGCACUGAGUCAGUAGCGGCUAUGAAAGAAGAGAGCCUGAAGGAGAAGGUAUUAAUAAUAGCCUCCUUGUUGAGGUCAUGAAAGUAAAAGCACGACUGAAGAACUGCACCAGAGUGAAGAAGACUAAAGA